RNAcentral lists this long non-coding RNA (2053 nucleotides) under Pongo abelii (Sumatran orangutan). Its description in RNAcentral is "lincRNA". Lineage: Eukaryota; Metazoa; Chordata; Mammalia; Primates; Hominidae. The record is from RNAcentral.
AUUCAACUUUGUAUCACCUGAGCUUAGCUGACACCUGGCACAGAGAAGAAACAUAUUAAGGAUUUGCUGAGAGAAUAAGAUAGUAUAACUUGGUCUUAUAUUUAAGGUUUGAUUUUCUAGGAACCUAUAGUGAAUUUUAGGCUUGCUUUUCAGUUUUUGUAGCAGGGAUGUAGCACAGGUUUGGGACUCAGCACACCUAGUCUGAAAGCUGAUUUCUGUCACAGCAUGCAUGAGGGACAGUCUCUUCAGUUUAUUUAUACCUUAGUGCUGUGAUUCUCGAGCUUAUAGACACUGUGAGGACAGAAUUUUAGCUCUUUAAACAAAGGGGGGCAAAUAUACAGUGAACUCUAUCUAUAUAGGUAUUUAACUGAAAGGAAUUUCAGGGCCAAGUGUGUCUACUAUUAAAAGAAACGUACUUUUCUUACAAUGUAGUCCCUGAAUGCAAAUCAUGGUUUUAUCUGGUGGGCAACUGAAGAAACAGCAAUCUGAACUGAUAUGGGAGGCAGACCUCACUGUAACAGGAUUAGUGAGAAACAGUGUUUGUGGCUCUUAAUUGCUCAUUUUUUUUUUAAUGAGCAAUUAAAAAUGUUAGGGAUGUUAGGGAUUUUCUAAGGGCAGGUUUGUCCAUAUGCAGAGUUGAUGUUAGGAUGUAAUACCACAAAGAUGUAAUUAACUCCUCUGUUUAUGGUCUCCAUGUUAAUUCACUCUCAUAAGAGGGUAUGCACUGUGGUCACUAUUCUACUACCAUUUUUAAGAAAAAAUUUAAAACUAUUUUUUAUCUUCUAAGUUAAAUAUUUUGCUAUUUGAUAAGUUAACAAUGCAAUAGAAAAUCAGUAUAACUUUUAUCUUUACCAGAAGCCAUAAAAGUCUAUCUAGGAAAAUUUUGGAUGUGUGAACAUGGCUUUAGAGAAGGAACUCAACUACAGACUAUAAGAAAUGUAAAACCAAGCCAGGUUCCUGUUGUGGUCCUUUAUUAUGACCUGGUGACCUAAGCUAGAGAAUCACAGCACUAAGGUAUAAGUAAACCAAAUAGCAUGCAUUGGCUUUAGUUCAGAAGGGGAUUUUUGUGCAGAAAAUAAAUUGAAAGUAGGGGCUCUGGCCAGCAUAAACAGAUAAGAAAAAAGUAUGAUUCCCCACACCUCGAAAAUGACUCCUUCACACAUCCCACCAAUCAAAGAUCCAUUUGGAAUAACAGGUUCUUCUAAAAGCUGCCAUAAAAGUUAAGCCUCCUACCACCUAUACUUUGGUGUGAAUUGAUUUAGUCUGCAGGCAUUUUGAUUGCUUUUCUUCUAACACCUAACUUAGAAGGUGAAAUAGAGGUCUUGUUUGGAGGGAAUUGAAGAACGAAAAGGAAAGGGCAAUUUCAGAUCAAGGGAUAUGUUGGAAUGGUGGAAAAGUAGGAUCAUUAGGACAGCUGGGAACAGUCUUUUAGUUCUUGGAAGCCAGGAAAAAGAUGUAGAGAGAAGGGAAGAAGUGGUCAAGGCUCCAUGAAAAGGAGGAUGUAGCAGUCAAAUUGGAUGUCGACCAUGCAACAAUGACGUCAGGAACCCUGCUUGGUAUACCAUCGAAUAACGCGUAAAGUUUCACUCUUGUUGCCUAGGCUGGAGUACAAUGGUGUGAUCUCGGCUCACUGAAACCUCUGCCUCCUGGGUUCAUUCAAGUGAUUCUCCUGCCUCAGCCUCCUGAGUAGCUGGGAUUACAGCCUCCUCUAUAUACCUCCACCUUCUAACUCCAAGAAGUCAAAAUGAAGUCUCACCAUAUUGAUCAGACUGGUCUUGAAGUCCUGGCUUCAAAUGAUCUUCCCUCCUCAGCCUCCCAAAGUGCUGGGAUUAUAGAUCUUGCAGACAACAGAUCAUGGAACUUCUUGGCCUCCAUAAUCUCAUGAGCCAAUUUCUGUAAGUCUCUCUGUCUCUCUCUCUGGAGAACCUUGGCUAAUAUACAUACACCAUGAUUGAUAGUGGAUGCCCAAUAAAUGCAUUCCAAAAUAUAUGGAUGCCCAAUAAAUAUGUGUAAGUAUGAAUACUCAAUAAAUAAAAAAAAAUGAAAGAACGGA